AUAAAAAUGGUGCUCUAUAGGAGAAAGCCCUGCCUCCAGCUGUUUGCUUAGAAAUUCCAGGCACAAUUUGGAGGCCUGUGUCUUGUGACUGUAGCGUACGUGUAGAUAAGAUCUAAACCAGGCCAGAACUUGUCCGUGUAGACCAAUUUGGGUUUCCAAUCUCUCCAAAAGAAUGUGGUGAUCGAUGGUAUCAAAAGCAGCACUAAGAUCUAGGAGCACGAGGACAUAUAAAGAGCCUCGGUCUGAUGCCAUUAAAAGGUCCUGGCAGAGUUGUGCAGACUCAGGACAACGGAGCUUUGGAGGAAUACGCAGAUUUAAAGAGCCAGACACGUUGCUGCUCGAGCAUCCAGAACAAAUUCCAGCCCUUACCUUACGUUGCUUUAAUUCAGUACACCCACCUCUGUCAAUGCAAUUUUCUUCAUGCCAUUUUAAUCCAAAUCUGCGCAGAGUUAUUUUCAGUGGCUCCCAGAAAUCUGAACCCAGUAAGCAAAAUGAUGUUUAAAAUAUGUAUUUUCUGAACGUUGAAAAUAUAUAUUUUACGGAUGUUUGAAAUCAGGUUAAUUUUCGGUUCUGAAUUAAUGCUGAAAAUACUUUCUCUACUUUUUUUUUACUGUAAAGUACUGCACUCUGCUGUGCUCUACUGCAGUGGUUCUCAAACCUCUACUCAGG
Molecule: long non-coding RNA, 669 nt
Filed under: Salmo salar (Atlantic salmon)
Lineage: Eukaryota; Metazoa; Chordata; Actinopteri; Salmoniformes; Salmonidae
Description: lncRNA (ENSSSAG00000086650.1, ENSSSAG00000089112.1)
Source: RNAcentral